Long non-coding RNA from Hemicordylus capensis (graceful crag lizard), 1481 nucleotides. RefSeq lists it as uncharacterized. The record is from RefSeq and is a predicted model, not a curated record. Lineage: Eukaryota; Metazoa; Chordata; Lepidosauria; Squamata; Cordylidae. The transcript is spliced from 7 exons.
CGGGGCGGGGAGAUGAGGGAGUGAAAGAUCACAUGGUUUACGAUGCGGCGGCGCGUGCAUUUGGGAUCAACUUCUCUGCCUAAAAUGCGACUGGUUUAAAGCUAGACAGGAAGUUCUCUCCCUAAAGUGAUUAUCAAAUAAGAGAAAACUCUAUGGUUGUAAAAACGACUCUCUCUCUCAAACAAUUACAGGGACAAAAAGGAAGGGAAACGGUUCAGCUUAAUACUGCAAGUUCUAAUAGAGAGAGACGGCAACGGUACUGCAGCCUACUGAAAGGUAGCGGAGCCGGAGGCACAAGACAAGUCUCAGACUGGCCUUUCUCUGCAGAUCAGACUUCGUAGCUACUUUUGACUCCAUGUGGGUUUCCCUUCUCUUUCGUUAGUCAAAGUCUUCACCCAGACUUCAGAGAGCUCACUGCAAAUGCACUGAGGGAUGAGAGAUAGCCCCAGGCUCUACCAAAAAUACAAGGACUACGGGACAAGAGAUUUUUGCCUCAGGCGCUGUAAAUCCCUCCCUCAUUUGAACUCCCCAAAACCCUGAUCGUAGUGAAGCAGGAGUAAACUGCCAUCUGGAAAACACUAUGAAAAAGGCGGAUCUGAAACUACACUUCUUUAGAUCCUUGGAAUCUCUUUGUUAAAAACAAAGGAAUAUCUACUCACAGCAUAGACUGGAAAGAGUUCUGGGCUGUUCAAGUCCCAGUCAUUGAUAUGAGAUCCUAUCUGCACGCCAGGAAAGCCAAGCAUCUUCACACAGCGAUACAUUUCCUUCACAGCCAUGUCUGGAGCUUGCAUGGGGAGCGUCCCAAGGCCAAUGAAUCUUUUUGGCUCUCAUGCCCGUAGAAGGAAGUCCACAUUUUCUGCAGAGCAGACAAGGAAGCUGAGCUCAUGGACUGAACUAGUUACAACAUGAGAGAUCCAUGAUCAAAUCCUGCAAAAUGUUUCCUUAAAAACUGAAGUGGAUAUACUGCUCCCAGGAUCCAGUCUAAAGACAGAUGAACCCCGCUGCCUAUGGACAGGAGCUAAAUCACAUCAAAGGGGUGUCUGAGGAACGGUUCCCAUAUGACUGCUUGAGAUUGCAAAGAUUUAAAUGGCAAAAGAAGUCAAACCUCAAAACUCAAAAGAGUGCAUGGACAAAAUCCCCUGCAUCCAUCUGGCUGAAAUUCAGAUGACCUCGCAAAGGUCUACCAUGCAUGAAGUUUUCAUCCCAUUCUGACAAGAAUCAACAAAGUUAUAAGCUGUGUUAGGCAUCAUCAUCUGAAUUUCUCAAGAAGCAAACACAUUAUCAUGAAGUAGUUAAGGAAAUGUGGCAUCAUGGGGAAAAAUCUGGUUCACUUGCUAUUGUUAUUCCCUUGCUAUUGCUAUUCUCUUACACCUGUUUUCUCAGGCUUUUAAUUAAAAUUAACUUUAAACUGUUCACUUGUCUUUAUCCUGUGAUAUUAUUUUAAUGGUUUCACUUUGUGAAUUGUUUUUGUUUUUUAUUCU